Amblyraja radiata (thorny skate) is the source of this 99-nucleotide long non-coding RNA. RefSeq lists it as uncharacterized. The record is from RefSeq and is a predicted model, not a curated record. The transcript has 3 exons. Lineage: Eukaryota; Metazoa; Chordata; Chondrichthyes; Rajiformes; Rajidae.
GCUGUAAUUGUUAUAUGGUUAUAUGUAGAGUAGGUUAGCCUAUGAUUAGCGUUUGUCGGCACUGGGCCUGUACUCGCAGGUGUUUAGAAGAAUGAGGGG